RNAcentral lists this ribosomal RNA (447 nucleotides) under uncultured bacterium. RNAcentral describes it as "bacterial SSU rRNA". It matches the Rfam family "Bacterial small subunit ribosomal RNA", at positions 331 to 793 of the family's 1533-position model. The record is from RNAcentral.
CCAGACUCCUACGGGAGGCAGCAGUGGGGAAUAUUGCACAAUGGGGGAAACCCUGAUGCAGCGACGCCGCGUGAGUGAAGAAGUAUUUCGGUAUGUAAAGCUCUAUCAGCAGGGAAGAUAAUGACGGUACCUGAGUAAGAAGCCCCGGCUAACUACGUGCCAGCAGCCGCGGUAAUACGUAGGGGGCAAGCGUUAUCCGGAAUUACUGGGUGUAAAGGGAGCGUAGACGGUGAAGUAAGUCUGGAGUGAAAGGCGGGGGCCCAACCCCCGGACUGCUCUGGAAACUAUUUGACUGGAGUGCAGGAGAGGUAAGCGGAAUUCCUAGUGUAGCGGUGAAAUGCGUAGAUAUUAGGAGGAACACCAGUGGCGAAGGCGGCUUACUGGACUGUAACUGACGUUGAGGCUCGAAAGCGUGGGGAGCAAACAGGAUUAGAUACCCCAGUAAAA